This 76-nucleotide transfer RNA is filed under the name Mycoplasma sp. CSL7491-lung. Its description in RNAcentral is "tRNA-Lys". It matches the Rfam family "tRNA". Rfam says of the family: Transfer RNA (tRNA) molecules are approximately 80 nucleotides in length. Their secondary structure includes four short double-helical elements and three loops (D, anti-codon, and T loops). Lineage: Bacteria; Bacillati; Mycoplasmatota; Mollicutes; Mycoplasmatales; Mycoplasmataceae. RNAcentral also lists the same sequence under 2 other names. The record is from RNAcentral.
GCAUCAUUAGCUCAGCAGGUAGAGCAACUGGCUCUUAACCAGUGGGUCGCAGGUUCGAACCCUGUAUGAUGUACCA